Molecule: ribosomal RNA, 440 nt
Filed under: uncultured bacterium
Lineage: Bacteria
Description: partial 16S ribosomal RNA
Rfam family: Bacterial small subunit ribosomal RNA
Source: RNAcentral
CCUACGGGAGGCUGCAGUGGGGAAUAUUGCACAAUGGGGGGAACCCUGAUGCAGCGACGCCGCGUGAGCGAUGAAGUAUUUCGGUAUGUAAAGCUCUAUCAGCAGGGACGAAAAUGACGGUACCUGACUAAGAAGCCCCGGCUAACUACGUGCCAGCAGCCGCGGUAAUACGUAGGGGGCAAGCGUUAUCCGGCUUUACUGGGUGUAAAGGGAGCGUAGACGGCUGGGCAAGUCUGGAGUGAAAGGCAUGGGCUCAACCUGUGGACUGGUUGGGAAACUGUGCGGCUUGAGUGACGGAGAGGCAAGUGGAAUUCCUAGUGUAGCGGUGAAAUGCGUAGAUAGUAGGAGGAACACCAGUGGCGAAGGCGGCUUGCUGGACGAUGACUGACGUUGAGGCUCGAAAGCGUGGGGAGCAAACAGGAUUAGAUACCCUUGUAGUC